RNAcentral lists this ribosomal RNA (547 nucleotides) under uncultured bacterium. RNAcentral describes it as "bacterial SSU rRNA". It matches the Rfam family "Bacterial small subunit ribosomal RNA", at positions 355 to 896 of the family's 1533-position model. The record is from RNAcentral.
UGGGGAAUAUUGGACAAUGGGCGAAAGCGAUCCAGCCAUGCCGCGUGUGUGAAGAAGGCCUUUUGGUUGUAAAGCACUUUAAGUGGGGAGGAAAAGCUUAUGGUUAAUACCCAUAAGCCCUGACGUUACCCACAGAAUAAGCACCGGCUAACUCUGUGCCAGCAGCCGCGGUAAUACAGAGGGUGCAAGCGUUAAUCGGAAUUACUGGGCGUAAAGCGCGCGUAGGUGGUUAUUUAAGUCAGAUGUGAAAGCCCCGGGCUUAACCUGGGAACUGCAUCUGAUACUGGAUAACUAGAGUAGGUGAGAGGGGAGUAGAAUUCCAGGUGUAGCGGUGAAAUGCGUAGAGAUCUGGAGGAAUACCGAUGGCGAAGGCAGCUCCCUGGCAUCAUACUGACACUGAGGUGCGAAAGCGUGGGUAGCAAACAGGAUUAGAUACCCUGGUAGUCCACGCCGUAAACGAUGUCUACCAGUCGUUGGGUCUUUUAAAGACUUAGUGACGCAGUUAACGCAAUAAGUAGACCGCCUGGGGAGUACGGCCGCAAGGUUA